CGACCCCAGGUCAGGCGGGAUUCACC
Molecule: ribosomal RNA, 26 nt
Filed under: Nymphoides humboldtiana
Lineage: Eukaryota; Viridiplantae; Streptophyta; Magnoliopsida; Asterales; Menyanthaceae
Description: partial 26S ribosomal RNA
Source: RNAcentral